AUGGAGCUUUUCUCAAGAUUUACUCCCACUAUUUUCCCUACUUGUUCACUGCUCAUAACCUCAUUUUUCCCACUUUUCAUUCUCUUCUCCAGAGAAGAGUGGACUCUCUGUCCUCAGAGGGAAACACAAUCUGAUGGGACACAGCUCUGGCACCACAUUUCCUCUUGUUCCUGCUGUCCUGGAAAGGCACAGGCUCUCUGCAUACUGCCAUAUCAGUGGAUACACCUCUGUGCUACAGCGGCUUUCCGUGAGGGCUUCAAGGCUUUCCUCCAAAUAAUGGCAGCCACCUGGAGCAGUGCACAGCUGGGCCCGGUUCUGACAACACUGACGGAAUGUUCCUUCCAAGUUCGCUUAACAUUACCUUUCAGAGCUUACUCCUGGCACCACAGGAGAAGAAGAAAAGCACCAAGAAAGUGCCACAUCCACUCCCAAACUCCUUUCAGCUCAGCAGUAGGGAAUGUGCUCAUAUCAGCAGGGAAAGGGACUGUAGCCUAG
This 495-nucleotide long non-coding RNA is filed under the name Cyanistes caeruleus (blue tit). Its description in RNAcentral is "lncRNA (ENSCCEG00000017607.1)". Lineage: Eukaryota; Metazoa; Chordata; Aves; Passeriformes; Paridae. The record is from RNAcentral.